RNAcentral lists this ribosomal RNA (1728 nucleotides) under marine metagenome. RNAcentral's name for it is "bacterial LSU rRNA". It matches the Rfam family "Bacterial large subunit ribosomal RNA", at positions 1218 to 2925 of the family's 2925-position model. The record is from RNAcentral.
UUUUAGGAUGGUAGGGGAGCGUUCUAUGAUAGGUUGAAGCCUUACUAAAAAGAGAGGUGGACGAAAUAGAAGUGAGAAUGCCGGUAUAAGUAGCGAUAAUAUAAGUGAGAAUCUUAUUCGCCGAAAGCCUAAGGUUUCCUGGGGAAGGUAAAUCCGCCCAGGGUUAGCCGGUACCUAAGUCGAGGUCGAAAGGCGUAGACGAUGGACAACAGGUUAAUAUUCCUGUGCUGCUAUUUAACGUUUGAGCUUGGGAGGACGUGGACACAACGAUUAGCAAACCCAGUAGACAUGGUUUGUUCAAGCUGGAGAUGCCGCUCUAGGAAAAUCCGGAGCAAUAAGGUGUCGAAAGCGAGUACGUUGGCUCUUGGCCUAGAAGUAAUCUGAGUGUCUUCCAAGAAAAGUCUCGUUAGCGAGUUAACAUGGCAACCGUACUAAAACUGACACAGGUAGGCAAGGAGAGAAUCCUAAGGCGCUCGAGAGAACCCUCGUUAAGGAAUUCGGCAAACAUACUCCGUAACUUCGGGAUAAGGAGUGCCUUUUUAACUUCGGUUAAAAAGGUCGCAGUGAAAAAGGUCCGGGCGACUGUUUACUAAAAACACAGGUCUCUGCUAAAAUGUAUAAUUGAUGUAUAGAGACUGACGCGUGCUCGAUGCCAGAAAGUUAAGGGGAUAGGUUAUUUCCUGAGCAAUCAGGAGAGAAGCUUGGAACUGAAGCUCUGGUGAAUGGCGGCUCUAACUAUGAGAGUCCUAAGGUAGCGAAGUUCCUUGUCGGGUAAUUUCCGACGCGCAUGAAUCGCGUAACGACCUGGACACUGUCUCAACGAGGGACUCGGCGAAAUUGUAGUUGUGGUGAAGAUGCCACAUACCCGCGGAAAGACGGAAAGACCCCGUGAACCUUUACUGUAGCUUAUUAUUGGAUUUUGGCGCAGUAUGUGUAGGAUAGGUGGGAGACGAGGAAGUUUCGACGUAAGUUGGAAUGGAGUCAAUGGUGAAAUACCACUCUUACUUUGUUAAAAUUCUAAAGGAAUACCGUGAAUCCGGGUUCUUGACAGUGGUAAGUGGGCAGUUUGACUGGGGCGGUCUCCUCCAAAAAAGUAACGGAGGAGUCCAAAGGCUCCCUCAAUGCGGUUGGCAACCGCAUGUAGAGUGUAAAGGCAUAAGGGAGCUUAACUGCGAGACCUAUAAGUCGAGCAGGUGUGAAAGCAGGGCUUAGUGAUCCGGCGGUUUCUGAGUGGAAAGGCCGUCGCUCAACAGAUAAAAGGUACUCCGGGGAUAACAGGCUGAUCUCCUCCGAGCGUUCAUAGCGGCGAGGAGGUUUGGCACCUCGAUGUCGGCUCAUCGCAUCCUGGGGCUGAAGAAGGUCCCAAGGGUUUGGGAGUUCACCAAUUAAAGCGGUACGCGAGCUGGGUUUAGACCGUCGUGAGACAGGUCGGUCCCUAUCUUCCGUGGGCGUACGAUAUUUGAGAAAAUCUGCCUCUAGUACGAGAGGAUCGAGGUGGACGAACCUAUGGUGAGUCAGUUGUUGUGCUAACAGCAUGGCUGAGUAGCUAAGUUCGGAAAGGAUAAACGCUGAAAGCAUAUAAGCGUGAAGCCUGCUUUAAGACUAGAUAUCGUUCUCUAAUUUAUUAGGGUGAAGACAUCUUAAAGACUAUGAGAUUGAUAGGCCAGGUGUGUAAGUCCGGUAACGGAUUCAGCUAACUGGUACUAAUUUGUCGAAAAGCUUGAUCAC